RNAcentral lists this ribosomal RNA (253 nucleotides) under uncultured bacterium. RNAcentral's name for it is "partial 16S ribosomal RNA". It matches the Rfam family "Bacterial small subunit ribosomal RNA", at positions 524 to 776 of the family's 1533-position model. The record is from RNAcentral.
GACAGAGGGUGCAAACGUUGUUCGGAAUUACUGGGCGUAAAGCGCGUGUAGGUGGCUAGGCAAGUCGGGUGUGAAAGCCCCGGGCUCAACCCGGGAAGUGCACUCGAAACUGCUUGGCUCGAGUGCCGGAGAGGGAAGCGGAAUUCUCGGUGUAGAGGUGAAAUUCGUAGAUAUCGAGAGGAACACCAGUGGCGAAGGCGGCUUCCUGGACGGCUACUGACGCUGAGACGCGAAAGCGUGGGGAGCAAACAGG